This 806-nucleotide ribosomal RNA is filed under the name uncultured marine bacterium. RNAcentral's name for it is "bacterial SSU rRNA". It matches the Rfam family "Bacterial small subunit ribosomal RNA", at positions 9 to 795 of the family's 1533-position model. The record is from RNAcentral.
GAGUUUGAUCCUGGCUCAGAACGAACGCUGGCGGCAGGCCUAACACAUGCAAGUCGAGCGCUCUCCUUCGGGAGGGAGCGGCGGACGGGUUAGUAACGCGUGGGAACGUACCCUUUUUCUACGGAAUAGCCUCGGGAAACUGAGAGUAAUACCGUAUACGCCCCCCCAAUCAAAUUCCAUUUGAUUGGCGAAUUCAAUGAAUCGUCAGAUGUCGAGUGGCAUUUGAUGGGGGGGAAAGAUUUAUCGGAGAAGGAUCGGCCCGCGUUAGAUUAGAUAGUUGGUGGGGUAAUGGCCUACCAAGUCUACGAUCUAUAGCUGGUUUUAGAGGAUGAUCAGCAACACUGGGACUGAGACACGGCCCAGACUCCUACGGGAGGCAGCAGUGGGGAAUCUUAGACAAUGGGCGCAAGCCUGAUCUAGCCAUGCCGCGUGAGUGAAGAAGGCCCUAGGGUCGUAAAGCUCUUUCGCCAGGGAUGAUAAUGACAGUACCUGGUAAAGAAACCCCGGCUAACUCCGUGCCAGCAGCCGCGGUAAUACGGAGGGGGUUAGCGUUGUUCGGAAUUACUGGGCGUAAAGCGUACGUAGGCGGAUCAGAAAGUAUGGGGUGAAAUCCCAGGGCUCAACCCUGGAACUGCCUCAUAAACUCCUGGUCUUGAGUUCGAGAGAGGUGAGUGGAAUUCCGAGUGUAGAGGUGAAAUUCGUAGAUAUUCGGAGGAACACCAGUGGCGAAGGCGGCUCACUGGCUCGAUACUGACGCUGAGGUACGAAAGUGUGGGGAGCAAACAGGAUUAGAUACCCUGGUAGUC